AAUUUAGUGUUUCUGUGAUUCUGAGGGAAUAUAAUUGUUAGAUUUGUGGUAUAAGGGGUGGGUGUGAUAAGCUCUGCUUCAACCCACUCCCUUUCGGACACAUGGGGUUUGUUUUUUUGGUUAAUAUUAUUGUUAUAUUGGUUGGUUUGUUUUUGUUAAGUUGUUAUAUUGUUAACACGCUUGCCGAAUAAAUAAACUCAUUCAUUUUUCAUUGCCGGAUUUACAAUGAUCUCAUAAAUGGCCCAGAAAAAAAAAAACUCUGAAAUCCGUGGAUCCGCAGAAAAUUCUCAUCUAUGAUGAAUACAUAUUUUUGAUUA
Molecule: long non-coding RNA, 317 nt
Organism: Thalassophryne amazonica
Lineage: Eukaryota; Metazoa; Chordata; Actinopteri; Batrachoidiformes; Batrachoididae
Exons: 3
Source: RefSeq, a predicted model, not a curated record